CAGAAGGGCUUAUAGGAUCGAUGC
RNAcentral lists this non-coding RNA (24 nucleotides) under Arabidopsis thaliana (thale cress). The record is from RNAcentral. Lineage: Eukaryota; Viridiplantae; Streptophyta; Magnoliopsida; Brassicales; Brassicaceae.